CUACGGGCCGCUCCAGUGAGGAAUAUUGCACAAUGGGGGGAACCCUGAUGCAGCAACGCCGCGUGGAGGAUGACGCAUUUCGGUGUGUAAACUCCUUUUAUAUGUCAAGAAAAUGACGGUAGCAUAUGAAUAAGCACCGGCUAACUCCGUGCCAGCAGCCGCGGUAAUACGGAGGGUGCAAGCGUUACUCGGAAUCACUGGGCGUAAAGGACGCGUAGGCGGGUUGGAAAGUCAGGUGUGAAAUCCUACAGCUUAACUGUAGAACUGCACUUGAAACUUCUAAUCUAGAGUAUGGGAGGGGGAGAUGGAAUUAGUGGUGUAGGGGUAAUAUCCGUAGAUAUCACUAGGAAUACCUAAAGCGAAGGCGAUCUCCUAGAACAUUACUGACGCUAAGGCGUGAAAGCGUGGGGAGCAAACAGGAUUAGAUACCCCAGUAGUC
RNAcentral lists this ribosomal RNA (439 nucleotides) under uncultured bacterium. RNAcentral's name for it is "partial 16S ribosomal RNA". It matches the Rfam family "Bacterial small subunit ribosomal RNA", at positions 339 to 795 of the family's 1533-position model. The record is from RNAcentral.